UACCUGGUUGAUCCUGCCAGUAGUCAUAUGCUUGUCUCAAAGAUUAAGCCAUGCAAGUCUAAGUACGAGCUCUCGUACAGUGAAACUGCGAAUGGCUCAUUAAAUCAGUUAUGGUUCAUUUGAUCGUACAGUUUACUUGGAUAACUGUGGUAAUUCUAGAGCUAAUACAUGCGAGAAGCGCCGACCUCGCGGGAGGCGUGCAUUUAUCAGACCAAAAACCGGCCGCGUCUUCGGGCGCGUUCGCCUUGGUGACUCUGGAUAACUUUG
Non-coding RNA from Ciona savignyi (Pacific transparent sea squirt), 267 nucleotides. The record is from Rfam. NCBI's taxonomy places the organism in Eukaryota, Metazoa, Chordata, Ascidiacea, Phlebobranchia, Cionidae.